GGUGAAGCAGAGUGAGGAAGACUGAGGUGCAACAGGCUUUCAAGUCAGAGGAAAGGGGGCCUCAGGCCAAUGAGUGCAGGCAGACGUUGGGAGUCAGAAAAAAAUGAACAAGAAAAUAGAUUCUCCCCUAGAGCCUAGAGAAAGAAAACAGACCUACCAACCUCGUGAGGUGUGUCCAGUGAGAAUCAUUUUGGACCUCUCUCCAAAGCAGUAAGGAAGGCAAGAAAUUGAGAGGAUACCUGUCUUCCCAGAGGUUUUCCUGAAGUACACAUAUGACUUCGGUGGUAUAUUUGACAAAACUUAGAGUGAUUGCUGAUGAUGAGUCCCAUUUAAACUGAAGACAGCCUCUAAGGCCCCCGAAAAGACUUUGAUGUUUCACAUGUUCUUUCAGUGGACCCAACCCUUAAAAUCGGCAUCUUAAAAUAGCUCUCUGGUCUCUACCGGUGUUAAUGACUGCAAUAACUGGAUUAUAAUUUUCACAAAAGAUAAGCUAGUGUUCGAUGGCAUGGAUAAAGAAUUUACAAAGAGAACUUAGAGCAGUAUUGUGACUGAUGAAAGACCGUGAACUGGAACUUUCUCAUUAAAUGGAAUUCCUCUGUGACUCAGUAUCCGUUGCAAUGGUGUAUCGUCUUGCUAUGGACGCUCAUUCCCUGCUCUGGGUAGAGGCCACCGAUGCAUUUCCCACAGGCCGCCAGAGAGCGAGUAAGUGUCCCCUUCUCUGCCAGCUUGGAAUCGGCCAAAUGGUUCCUACAAGUCCGAAGUUACUGGCUUGGUUUCUGGGGCUUUGUAACAAGGAAAAAUUAAAGCGCUGUAGCAUGAAAAGAGGAAAACACAAGACUUCUAAAAGGAUAUAAAAACCAGAAAUGAAAACAUCAGAAGCAGUGCCAAGCAGUAUUUGAAGUGCCUUUUCAUGAUGUUUGAAGUGUCUUAAUGUUAAUCAGAGCAUAAAAAUUUUGUUUUGCUUUUUUCCUAAUGGCAGGAUCAUGGAUAUAUACUUUUUUCUAAUACAAAUAAUCAGCGUAAAAAGGGAAAGAAAAUGUGUAGGAAUGUUGAGCCGCCUGAUGGGGUAACUUCUUUGAAUAUUCACGUAUCAUGGAUUUUUGAUGUUGUAAACAUAGACAUGUAUUUUUUAACAGUAAAUGCAGAAGUGUUGCUGGAGCGAUAGACAAUAUAACUGUCCCUAUCCAUUUCUAUUCCAUUUCUAGGAAAAUAAAGUCAAAAUAGUGUAGAAAUUUCAAUAAAAUAUUAUGAAGAUGUUGUAAAACCAGCCCUCAGUAUUGCUAACAAAGCAUGCUCCAGUCUAAAAGUCUAAGGUGAGAGGAACUCUGCCAACACAGUAUUAAACAUUGUGUACGUGAAUGAAAACCACAGAAUCUCUAGAAACUUGGUUUUAGGAAAGAUAGUUUUAAUUACAGACCAGGAUGAGCUUUUAGACAAAAAAAAAAAAAAAAUCUCCCCCAAAGCCAUAUAUUCAGCAUUUAUCUUUCCGAGUUUGCAUGUAGAUUCCUAAUUUACAAAUGGAGAAUCUCCUUAGCUAAGGUGACCACUUGAUUUAUAAGCAACAUUUAAUCUUCAAAACAUCCAUACAGAUUGGAGAUCAGGAUUUUGAUAUUUGUUAGGUCAGUUUAGCUAAGGGAAUUUGAAAGGAAUUUGUUGACUCCAGUAAGGACAGGUCAGUGCAUACCCCACCCCCACCCCCACCCUGGCCCAAGACUGUUCUUCAGCAAAAUUAAGAAAUUUAAAAAAGAUCUACGCUCUCCAUUUUUGUUUCUUGUAAGUAUUUAUUGGGGGCUCUUUGUUUCUGUCUAUCUAUGUUUGCAUGGUUUAUACACUGUCCAGCUCUCCACAUCAUUCAAACAUGGUAUUAGAUACCAUUCACGCUUUUUAAGGACAGAAAAUUCAUUUUGUGUUGUCAGAUGGUUUUGUCAAGGAUACUUGGUGAAAUCAUAUUAAAAAUGCUGUUUUGAAAAAUAGUUUGGAAGAUGAUAAAUGGAACUUCGUGCCUCAGCCCUCUGAGAACAAUUUUGAUAGUUUCUUGGGCUUGUUUUCUGAGGAAAUCAAUGGAUGAGAUUUACAAAAGGUCAACUGUGACCUUUCGUUUACAAUCACACCAGUAUUUUCAAAUCUGUAGGAUAUUUCUACUUUGCACUGCUACUCUCAUUUUAAACUCUGCAUGAGUAAACAUAAACUUCCAUACUUCCCCUCUGGCAAAACAGUGAAGUUUCUCAAGGACUCCAUUUGGAUCUACCAUUGCUCUGUGUCAGACCCCCACUCCCUCAAACAAGAUUCUAAUGACUUUAAUCCCCUCUAGCAGCUCUAACUAAUUGAUCUCCAAAUUUCACGCUGAUAUCCUAUUCUGAGAAAAUCCUUUCUUCCUAUUAUUUCUACUCAACCUAUUUCACUACGUCUCCCCAACCUGACUGAUCCACACUAGUCAGAAAAUUGCUAGCACUUAGUGUCUCCAAGUCCCGCCUUUCAUUUAAUUGUUAAACUGCUGCAACCUGCCUUCUGUAAUAGCUAAAUCCAAUAGAAAUUUUUUUGUUCCCAAAUGAUAUACCCAAAUUGCAUGCGUUCCAAAGAUACUCAUUUACAUCUGCUUACUAUUGUGGUGGUGUCCGGUGUUGGGACUUAGGUUCACAAUGAUGAGGAGAAUUAGCCAGCCAUUUAUGGGAAGUAAAGAACCAUUGAUUAAAACAACAACAACAACAACAACAACAACAACAAAACAUAUGAAAGAGAGCAGAGGUUUUAGAGAACAUGAUGCCAUCAGAGGAAGUCAGUCAAAUUGGAAGAUGAAUGUGGGGUUGUAUCUGUUGGUAAAACUAAAGAUGGGGGUUAGAGUCAGAUCAUGAGGAAUCUCAAAUGCUGUACCAAAGGUUCAGACGUUGUGCAGUCUUGGGGUACCAUUGGUGGAUUCCAAGCAGUGAAGUGAUAAAAGCACAUUUGAAUUUUAGAAAGACCAUGCUGGUGAAAAUUGGGACAAUAAAUUGAGAUUGUGCAAGAUUAGAAGCAGACACAAUUGGUUAAGUUAAUUCUAAGUCCUAGGAGAUGAAUGAUGAGAUUCUAAACCAGAACUUUGACAAUGAGAUGAAGAGAAUGGAAUAGAUUUAAUAGCUACUUGGGUUACAGAACUGACAAAAUUUGACCAUCAAUUGCAUAUGGCGUGAGGUUAGAAAGAGACAACAUUUGAGGAAGAUUAUCACAGAUGAGUAAUACUUGAGUGAGGCAAAGUAGCAACUUUUAAAGAAAGAUGCUCAAUUUGAUUUGGGUCCUAAUUAUAAACUGCCUGAAUGGCAUCCAGAUGAAAUUGUUCAGGAGGCAUAUAAAAUACACAUAGAAUGAUGAGGUGAUUUCCUGGUAGAGCCAAAGGUUUUUGGAGGGAGAAUAAUUAGUAUAUACGUGACAACUAAAGCUAUGACCACAGAGCCAGAGAGCAGGACUUGAGUGCGAGACGAAGAUAGCUGUAUCAAUCAGAGUAGGUGUGGUUAUCCUACAGUAACACCCCCUUCAAACCUCAAUCAUUUACAGUAACAAAGAUUGACUUCUCUUAUUUGCUACCUGUCAUUGGUGUGUGGGCUUUGACUCUGUUCUGAUCUCUGAGACACAGCCUUUCUGAACAACUUCUGGAUAGAAUAUCGUUUAUCAUUAUGCAGAGGGAAAGAGAGGAUGUGAUGAAGUAUGAAUGGAGCCUUAAAACUUCUGCCUGUAAUACCUAAAACUUUUGCUCAUGAUCAAAAAAAAUCCCAAGUUCUGACUGCUGAGGGGUGAGGAAGUGAAAGUCUCUCUUGGGGAAGGAAAGUAGAUAGUCGGUGAACAAAAACGAUCUACGAGGAUUGCCGAGUUAAAAUCCAAGAGAAUAGAAACAUUUAAGUAACUCUUGAAAAAGGCAUACCUUCGAAAAACGCUGAAAGAGAUGGGCCAUAAUAACUAGAAAACAUGCAUCAAGUAUCAUUCCUCAAAUAGAGAAGAAAAAAUCUUUUUUGUAUAAAUGCAUUAAUGUUUUGAGAAUUUAUGUAGAAGAGGUAUAUUAGCUUUUCAUAAUCACUAAAAAUUGUAGGACAGUGGGGAUACAAUUUGUUAAACCUUUCUUGCAGAAGGCUCAUCCUGCAAGAUGUGAAGUCACAGGCAAGUGGAAAGGAAAAUAUAAAAGAAAUGCAUUAAUUCAGUGUUUGGAUACACUGUCCUAUAAAGUCAGAAAUACUCUCCGAAAUUCUCUUAAUAGUUGAAACAUUUGAUUUUUUGAAAAGCUCAGGCUAGCUUUUAAUUUCUCAUUCUUUGUUGAGGCCUUAGAUUUGGUAUUACUAUUUGCCCCUUUGAUUGCAAGCAAAAUGAAAGUGCCCAGAGAUGGAGAUAACUUCUUACAGCGUGUGUGUGUGUGUGUGUGUGUGUGUGUGUGUGUGUAAAAUAUGUUCACUUCUUCCGCAUAUGAGUAAAGUGCUAAUCAUUGGUCUAUUGUGAAAAGCUGGGCAAACCUCCAGAACUGAGACCUGAAUUUGCUGUUAAUGAAGGAACAGUGGAACAUUAGGAAGUGGAGGUGGUUCUUUCUUGUUCUGAAAUUAAAUGUGGAGCGGAGAAUCCAGAGUUGAGAUUUAGUAAAUCUAAGCUCUCUGAAAUAUUAAUUAGCCUGUGAUAACUCUGCCGCAUUUUAAUAAAUACAGUUAUGAAUUACUCAGUAUUUUUCUUUGAUGUACAAAUAGGUAGCAAUGGGAAUCAGCAGUGACUAAAAGUAUGAAGCCCCUCCUCUGGCGGAACUUAGAUGGAACUGGGGGAAACGUGUUAAUGAAUUGUACCCUUAAUAAUAGAAUUACGUUAGUGUUAACCCUCAGUGAGGAGAAGUAUGAUCUCUAAAAGAUGAUAUGACCUAGACUGUUUUCUUUCGAGAAAGGGAUGUAGAGUAGACAGUUGAGGGAUGCAUAGGCUUUAGCAGGUCAAGAUGAUAUUGACUGGGUGUUAGGGAGCUUUCCAGGCAGAGGGAAUAGCAAUUAUGGAAGCAACAAGAGUACAGUUGCCUGGAGGAUUUGAAAAAGUGCAGUCUAGGAGAGAAAUGUGGUGAAGAUGUUGACUGACCUGAGUUGUAUUUGAUCUACAGAUCCUGGAAGCCCUUGUAGUCCAUGGUGAGAUUUCAUUCCAGCAACCAUCAAAAUCUUUUUUUUUUCCCUCAAAGCCUUUUUAUAAGACAGAAAAGAAACCUACUCACAUUUGUGUCUUCAACACAUUGUUCUUGGGACUGUGGGCAGACACAGAUUAACAGAGUGGCAAGACAGGCCAUCCCCUCAUUUCCUGCAGUUCAGGUCAGGGAUCAUGGUAACUCGGAAUGAGAAUGGAAAGAUAGAGAUGAAAUCCAGAGAUAACUCAAAAAUAAAGUCCAAUGGGAUCUAUGACUGAUUAGAUACAUAUGGAAAGUGCAGUUUCUAAGAGGAAUGGAUCAAGGAUGACCGUUAAUACGCAAAGGCAGUUCUAUGAAAGGUUCUAGUCUUUGGGUGAGCACAACAAUCGUUUGACUCAGAAGAGAGCUCUAGAUCCUGUGUCUCUUUAAGGUCAAAUUUUGUUAUGUCCUAGGAAAAAAUGAUUAAUUAUGAAGGUCUAUUGUACAAUAUCAGGUUACCCAUUUUUAGUCUGUUUCAAUACAGAGAGACUUUUGAUGGAAUAUUCAAAAUGAUUGGGUCAUUUGCCUUUUGGGAAUACGCUCUUCAGUAUUAAGCAUUUUGCUACCAGUCACCUUUAAGUUUAUCCAUGGCAUAAAGUAAUGACAAUGAUGACGAUACUUGGCAUUGAGUCCUCAUUGUGUGUCAGGCACCACUCUAUGUGCUUCAUGUAUAUUAAUUUGUCUCCCAGCAACCCUAGGUACUAUUUACCUCUAUUUUAAAGAGGGAGAAAAUGAGACCUAGAAUUCUUCCAUAUUUGCCAAAGUAGACAACACUAGUAAGUAAAAGAAGCAAGAUUUGAAUAUGCCUAGUAUAAUUGGGGAGUCUGAGCUCUUCAAUACCGCCCUAUGGGAUUACACUGUAGGGAAUGCUAGUGCGCAGAAGCUAAAAGAAUGUGAUGGGAGAAAGGCAGAGCUCAAGGGGUUGUGAUUUGCGGACAAAGCACUUUCCCAAGAAGCCUGGAGCUUUGUCAUAAAGGAUAGUCCUAGGUCUGUGAUUAGCCCUGAUGUUUUCCAGAGUGAGUGGCCCCAAGUAAUGCAUUGGUAACGAUUAUCCCCCAGGAGUCCUGCAGAGUCACAUCCCUUAGGAAUCUCUAGACAUUGGGUUGUGAUAUCUUAACCUGUGGAAAACGAUAAUCACGUUCAUCUCUGUUUUGCCAAAGUUGGAAAGUAGGGCUUGAUGGUGGACAGAUACUGAGGGUCUACUGGGUAAACACAUAAAUUGUUCUUGUAAGGUAUAAGUUAGUGAUUUGGUGUCUUUCUUCCUAGUAAGGUUUGGAGGAAGGAGAUAAAUUGCGUAGGCUGAGGACUCUGUCUUUAGUUAAAAGUCUCUCAAAUUACUCAGAAUUCUCAUCUGGUAAAAAGUAAAGAGAAGGCAGGAAGAAAAAAGAAACCCAUGUUCACAAAACCUGAGGUUUGAUGGGCUUGUGGCAGAUUCUAAACACAGCCGCAAAGAGCUUAAUGAUGUCUAAAGACCUAAUUCACUUUAGGGUAAAAACAGCAUUUUAUUAUUAUUUGUAGAUCCGUUCCCCCUAAAUUUUUCAAUUAAACCUCAUAUUGGCUGUUGAGGUGCAAGGAAAGAUGAGGUUAUUCCCCUGGUUGACGAAAAAAAGCUGAUGAGAGCACGCAGAGGAGAGGUGAUUUGCUCAUGUAGUGAACUGAAUGAAGUGUACUUGAAUUCUUUAAUCUCGCAAAACCGUAAACGGGGUUUUAAAUUCCUAGUCGACCAUACUGAUUCUUGAGUAAAAGAUACUUCCCACUGUCAUGCACUAUAAGAAAGCUAUUAUGGUGCUCAGUUUGGUGUAACUGGUAGCUUUCACUUUGAAAUGCUGCAGGCCUGUUCAUUUAUUGCUUUACUAACUCUACUCAAUCUGCCACAGAUUCCAGGGACUGUUGGACAGUGAUUUCUGGGGGAAUAGACAAUUCUGUGAGAUGGCCAGCCUUUAUGUUCAGGACUGUAUAUUUCGAAUUAAUCUUUUUCAAUACCAGUUUGAUUUUUUAUUUGAAAUAGGAUUGUAUACUGUUAACAUGAGCUAAUUACUUCAUUUGAGUUUGUAAUAAGAACAGAAGUAAAAAAUAAUUCUUCAUACUCACCUUGUUUAAAGAUCUGGUAGUUCCUAAGAAUUCUCCCAUAGUUCCGAUGGCACUUACUUUUAUGCAACACUCUGUGACCCUCUUAAAUGUUUUAAUUUUCAAUGAAGUCCCAUAAUACAGUUGGUGUACUUAUUUGAUCUACUUUUGGAAAUAGAUUUGCCUUUCUGCUGAUGUAGAUUUAUUGCUAUAACUUAUUUUAAAUUCAAACAGUUACAAAUUCAAUCAUUCAUUGAUUUCCUAUUAAAAGCUUUCUGUGGAAAUUGUGUGCUGCUAUGUUUCGGGUUCUAAAAGAAAUGAUACACUUGGAGGCUGGGAGAAGAGAAACAGAAAGACAAACAGGUAGUGAAAUAUUUAGAUUUUCCUAAAUGUAACUUUACUCAAUACACAGUAAAUGGUAUGUUUCACUGGAUGUCAUGUUACACAUUAUAAACUUACUUUUCUGUACGUUUAAGGAA
Felis catus (domestic cat) is the source of this 7692-nucleotide long non-coding RNA. RefSeq lists it as uncharacterized. NCBI's taxonomy places the organism in Eukaryota, Metazoa, Chordata, Mammalia, Carnivora, Felidae. The record is from RefSeq and is a predicted model, not a curated record. The transcript is spliced from 4 exons.